RNAcentral lists this ribosomal RNA (226 nucleotides) under Neofusicoccum parvum. RNAcentral describes it as "partial 18S ribosomal RNA". The record is from RNAcentral. Lineage: Eukaryota; Fungi; Ascomycota; Dothideomycetes; Botryosphaeriales; Botryosphaeriaceae.
UGAAAGUUUUAGUUUAUUAACUUGUUUUUCAGACUGCGAAGUUCACUGACUGGAGUUUUAUGGUCCUCUGGCGGGCGCUGGCCAGCCCCCCGAAGGGCGCCGGUGCGGAGGACCGCGGCCCGCCAAAGCAACAGAGGUAGGUACACAUUGGGUGGGAGAGUCGAGCCGGAGCUCGAAUCAACUCGGUAAUGAUCCUUCCGUAGGUGAACCUGCGGAAGGAUCAUUA